Long non-coding RNA from Dromaius novaehollandiae (emu), 621 nucleotides. RefSeq lists it as uncharacterized. The record is from RefSeq and is a predicted model, not a curated record. The transcript is spliced from 2 exons. Lineage: Eukaryota; Metazoa; Chordata; Aves; Casuariiformes; Dromaiidae.
GGCGGGGGCGGGCGAGGCGCGGGGACGCCGCGCCGCGGGGGGGGCGGGGCACACGCCGCCCGUCCCGGGAGGCGAUUGGCUGAGGGCGGAGCCGGUGGGUGGCUGCGUCAUGACUCCGCCAGCUGAUCCGAGACGGGAGCCGGCGAGUGCGGGGGGAGGCGGCGGCGGGGCCGCAGCGGGGCGGCGGCAGCAGCGGCGGGCGCCCAGCUGCUGCCCUGGCUGCCGUGCUUCUGGCUAACCAGCACCAGUUCUUCAGUGGCAAGCUUUAUGUCCUUCUCUAGUAGCUAAAGCUGCCAGUUGAAGAACUGUUGAAUGUAGCCACUCUCUUCUUGUCCCUGGGCUGCUGGACAUCAGCUAGAUCAGUGCCCUGAACGAGCGGGAUGAGCGAGUCUGCAGCAGCCGGUGGAUUCACCCCUCUGCGGGCUGAGGAUGGGCCCUGCCGGGAUGGAGAACUCGCCUUGCAGCCGCCGAGCAGAGCCUCAGCUGUGGGAUUGCCAGAAAGUCCUACCGGCAGGGUUGUGAGAUGGGGAGUGGGGUCACCGCUGUGGGGUGACACGUAACCAAGAGAACAAGAACUUCACCAAGUGAAGGGGAUAUUAAACUUUGUUUUGCUGCACAGUA